UUUCCGUAGGUGAACCUGCGGAAGGAUCAUUAUUGAAUAACCGAAGUGCGAGGGCUGUCGCAGACCCGAAAGGUUGCGCACGCACGAGUCCUCUCACACACAUCCAUCUUACCCCUAUGUGCUCCACCGGGUGGGCCCCCCUUUGGCCUGUUGGUGGGGGGGCUUACGUCUUUACACCUAUUUUGAAUGUAGUGCUGAAUGUGUUUUUUGUAUUUUAGAUCACGCCUUCAAAACACCUUUCAACAACGUCUCUCUUGGCUCUAGCACCGAGGAAGAAGG
Molecule: unclassified non-coding RNA, 279 nt
Filed under: plant metagenome
Description: partial contains small subunit ribosomal RNA, internal transcribed spacer 1, and 5.8S ribosomal RNA
Source: RNAcentral